Molecule: transfer RNA, 92 nt
Filed under: Amycolatopsis bullii
Lineage: Bacteria; Bacillati; Actinomycetota; Actinomycetes; Pseudonocardiales; Pseudonocardiaceae
Description: tRNA-Ser
Source: RNAcentral
CCCGACCUGUACCACUCGGAAGUCGCCGGCUGCUACCUGGCCGGGCGCCUGCCGGGCAACCCGGAGCCGUGUUCCGUCGCCGGGCCGGGCCC